UAUGUGAUCGUCUCUCGCAUAUCAAUAAGCGGAGGAAAAGAAACUAACAAGGAUUCCCCUAGUAACGGCGAGUGAAGCGGGAAGAGCUCAAAUUUGAAAUCUUAAAGGGUUUCCCUUUACGAAUUGUAGUUUAAAGAAGUGUUUUCUGUUGAGGUUUUGGUAAAAGUUCUUUGGAAUAGGACAUCAUAGAGGGUGAGAAUCCCGUAUUUGACCUUUACUCUCAACUUUGUGAUACACUUUCAAAGAGUCGGAUUGUUUGGGAAUGCAGUCCAAAAUGGGUGGUAAAUUUCAUCUAAAGCUAAAUAUUGGCGAGAGACCGAUAGCGAACAAGUACCGUGAGGGAAAGAUGAAAAGAACUUUGAAAAGAGAGUUAAACAGUACGUGAAAUUGUCAAAAGGGAAGCGUUUGACACCAGUGUUGUUUUUCUGAAAAUCAAUUAAAGAGCUGUUUAUGCUAAGUUGUUUAGACUUUAUCAGCUAACUGUUUAGUUUUGAGCUUUUCUUUAAUGCACUUUUCAGUUAACAAGUCAACAUCAAUUUCUUUUGCUGUAAAAAAGCUUGAGGAAGGUGGCUUGAGAUUCGUCUUAAGUGUUUAUAGCCUCUUGCCUAUGCAGUCGGAGAGAUUGAGGUCUGCAGCGUAGAUCCUUCGGGGCUAAAUGCAUUUGUGCUAAGUUAUAGCAUUUUAUAGACAACUUGUUGACUAUGAUUUGUCUUGUAGCUUACUCGCUUAUGUUAUUUUACCUACGCUUAGGAUGUUGAUAUGCAUGACUGAUAU
Molecule: ribosomal RNA, 774 nt
Filed under: uncultured Neocallimastigales
Lineage: Eukaryota; Fungi; Neocallimastigomycota; Neocallimastigomycetes; Neocallimastigales
Description: partial large subunit ribosomal RNA
Rfam family: Eukaryotic large subunit ribosomal RNA
Source: RNAcentral